RNAcentral lists this ribosomal RNA (369 nucleotides) under Triticum aestivum (bread wheat). Its description in RNAcentral is "partial small subunit ribosomal RNA". The record is from RNAcentral. Lineage: Eukaryota; Viridiplantae; Streptophyta; Magnoliopsida; Poales; Poaceae.
AUGAAUAACGACAGAAAAAUAUGCCUGAGGAGUAUGGGUUGCACAGAGGAGUAUAAGGAUUUCUUCAUCGGGCCAGUCCACGUGGAAGAUGUCGCGUUAGCCCAUAUCACGCUGUUUGAAAACCCGGCUGCAUCCGGGAGGCACCUCUGUGUGGAGCCCAUAUGUCACUUGAGCGAUUUCGCGUCCCAAGUCGCGGAGCUCUACCCCGACUACGAAGUCCCGAAAUUACCUGAGGACACGCAGCCUGGGCUGGUGAGAACGGAGGCGGUGCCGAAGAAGCUGAUGGCACUGGGCCUGCAUUUCACUCCUUUGGAAAAGAUCAUCAAGGAUGCGGUGGAGAGCCUUCGGAGAAGAGGAUGCAUCGCCUGA